GACGAACGCUGGCGGCGUGCCUAACACAUGCAAGUCGAGCGGGGAUUUAAGUGGAAGUUCUUCGGAAUGGAGAUUUAAAUUCUAGCGGCGGACGGGUGAGUAACGCGUUAACAAUCUGUCCCGGACAGGGGGAUAACACUUUGAAACAGGUGCUAAUACCGCAUAAGACCACGGCCUCGCAUGGGGCUGAGGUAAAAGGAGCAAUCCGGUUCGGGGUGAGUUCGCGUCCGAUUAGCUAGUUGGUGAGGUAACGGCCCACCAAGGCGACGAUCGGUAGCCGGCCUGAGAGGGUGAACGGCCACAUUGGAACUGAGAGACGGUCCAAACUCCUACGGGAGGAAGCAGUGGGGAAUAUUGGGCAAUGGGCGAAAGCCUGACCCAGCAACGCCGCGUGAGGGAAGAAGGUUUUCGGAUUGUAAACCUCUGUCCUAUGGGACGAAGGAAGUGACGGUACCAUAGGAGGAAGCCCCGGCUAACUACGUG
This 483-nucleotide ribosomal RNA is filed under the name uncultured bacterium. Its description in RNAcentral is "partial 16S ribosomal RNA". It matches the Rfam family "Bacterial small subunit ribosomal RNA", at positions 28 to 507 of the family's 1533-position model. The record is from RNAcentral.